GAUGAACGCUGGCGGCGUGCUUAACACAUGCAAGUCGAGCGAAGCACUUGUUUGGAACCCUCCGGGAGGAAAAACAUUUGACUGAGCGGCGGACGGGUGAGUAACGCGUGGGGAACCUGCCUUAUACCGGGGGAUAACAGCUGGAAACGGCUGCUAAUACCGCAUAAGCGCACGGCACCGCAUGGUGCAGUGUGAAAAGCUCCGGUGGUAUAAGAUGGACCCGCGUUAGAUUAGCUGGUUGGCGGGGUAACGGCCCACCAAGGCGACGAUCUAUCGCCGGCCUGAGAGGGCGACCGGCCACAUUGGGACUGAGACACGGCCCAAACUCCUACGGGAGGCAGCAGUGGGGAAUAUUGCACAAUGGGCGAAAGCCUGAUGCAGCGACGCCGCGUGAGCGAAGAAGUAUUUCGGUAUGUAAAGCUCUAUCAGCAGGGAAGAAAAUGACGGUACCUGACUAAGAAGCCCCGGCUAACUACGUGCCAGCAGCCGCCGUAA
Molecule: ribosomal RNA, 495 nt
Filed under: uncultured bacterium
Lineage: Bacteria
Description: partial 16S ribosomal RNA
Rfam family: Bacterial small subunit ribosomal RNA
Source: RNAcentral